UUCCCCAGCCUCACCUCCAGAUGUUCCAUGGGGGUUUGAAGUGUGGAGGAAGAGUUAACGGAGCUUGGUGUCUCUCUUAUUGAGCAGGGACAUGGGCAGAAGAACCAUGAAUGGAGGGAGGCCAACAUACUCCGAUCUCAGCUGUCAUUUUGAAUUUGAUCUCCUCUGUGCCAGAAAUCAGAUUUAUUGCUGGUGAGAAUGGUGACUCAUGCUCUUUUGAUGCCAACCAACUAAUUUAUCCUGCUGUGGUUUGGUAGGUACAAAUGUUUAGUAUGUGAACAAAAAUAGAGACCCACCCUCUCCCACCAUGCGGGCCCUUAAGAUUAGUCUUGCCCAAGCCUGAGGAUGUCCUUGAACUCCAAUCAAACUUUUACCUCAAAUGUAAUCUGUUUUAUUCUAGGAAUCACUGAAACUUGUAACCGAGUCAUGAAGGAUAGCAAACUGUAUCAAUAAAA
This 455-nucleotide long non-coding RNA is filed under the name Bos taurus (domestic cattle). RNAcentral describes it as "long non-coding RNA NONBTAT000834". The record is from RNAcentral. Lineage: Eukaryota; Metazoa; Chordata; Mammalia; Artiodactyla; Bovidae.